Molecule: ribosomal RNA, 253 nt
Filed under: uncultured bacterium
Lineage: Bacteria
Description: partial 16S ribosomal RNA
Rfam family: Bacterial small subunit ribosomal RNA
Source: RNAcentral
GACAGAGGGUGCAAACGUUGUUCGGAAUUACUGGGCGUAAAGCGUGCGCAGGCGGCUCCUUAAGUCAGAUGUGAAAGCCCCGGGCUUAACCUGGGAACUGCGUUUGAAACUGGGGAGCUGGAGUGUAGAAGAGGGGGGUGGAAUUCCAGGUGUAGCAGUGAAAUGCGUAGAUAUCUGGAGGAACACCGAUGGCGAAGGCAGCCCCCUGGGCUAACACUGACGCUCAUGCACGAAAGCGUGGGGAGCAAACAGG